Saccostrea cuccullata (small rock oyster) is the source of this 700-nucleotide long non-coding RNA. RefSeq lists it as uncharacterized. The record is from RefSeq and is a predicted model, not a curated record. The transcript is spliced from 3 exons. Lineage: Eukaryota; Metazoa; Mollusca; Bivalvia; Ostreida; Ostreidae.
UUUUCUCACCAAAGAAUACGUAUGUAGACAUGCACACUCAUUUAAUCUGCAGCUACGAAGUACUUUGUCACUCCUCUGGAACAUUAUUCUAAGCAGAAUUAUUCAGAUUCAUAUAUUCUAAGAAACUUGUGUGAAUUGUUUACGAGGAAAUUCCAACUGUCACAUUAACAAGGAUGAGCACUCUUGACUCUGCUUGGGAUUUCCUAGUGAUAAUUGCAUCGAGUGAUGAAAGAGCUGACGGCGACAUUUUAAUGUGUGAUUGGCUUGGACCAUUGGAAUGAAGUCAUUUCAUGGUGCCACCACUUGGGAUGGUAUUAGCUGCAAAUAUAGACUUGUACUUAGCACUUAUUGCCUUUAAGAAGUAUGAGAUCCAUUUUGUGCUAACACCUACCAUGACACAGAAUCUUGGUUUAUGCAGUCUCAUAGGAGUAACCUGUCUAAAGCAUUUAGCAAUGGGAUUGGAGCCUGAGACGUGUGACUCAUCUGAAUACUGAAUUUUGAUACCAAGCAUGACCGUGAUUUGCCAGAAGAUCAUCUGUUUGGAUGUGACAUGGAAUAAACAGCAUAGUGAAAAUAAGUCAAGUUUUGGUUUGUGACGACAACUUUUAAACACACUGUGUAUCAUUUUUAAAUUUUGAUUUCACAACAUAAAUCCACAAAUAUGAGCAUAUCAAUUGCUCUCGGUUUUUCAAGUGAAGUA